UACAGAGGGGGCAAGCGUUGUUCGGAAUUACUGGGCGUAAAGGGCGCGUAGGCGGACUUCUAAGUCGAACGUGAAAUCCCUGGGCUCAACCCAGGAACUGCGUCCGAUACUGGAAGGCUUGAAUCCGGGAGAGGGAUGCGGAAUUCCAGGUGUAGCGGUGAAAUGCGUAGAUAUCUGGAGGAACACCGGUGGCGAAGGCGGCAUCCUGGACCGGUAUUGACGCUGAGGCGCGAAAGCCAGGGGAGCAAACGGG
This 253-nucleotide ribosomal RNA is filed under the name uncultured bacterium. Its description in RNAcentral is "partial 16S ribosomal RNA". It matches the Rfam family "Bacterial small subunit ribosomal RNA", at positions 524 to 776 of the family's 1533-position model. The record is from RNAcentral.